RNAcentral lists this ribosomal RNA (253 nucleotides) under uncultured bacterium. RNAcentral describes it as "partial 16S ribosomal RNA". It matches the Rfam family "Bacterial small subunit ribosomal RNA", at positions 524 to 776 of the family's 1533-position model. The record is from RNAcentral.
UACAGAGGGGGCAAGCGUUGUUCGGAAUUACUGGGCGUAAAGGGCGCGUAGGCGGCCUGUUAAGUCGAACGUGAAAUCCCCGGGCUCAACCCGGGAACUGCGUCCGAAACUGGCAGGCUUGAAUCCGGGAGAGGGAUGUGGAAUUCCAGGUGUAGCGGUGAAAUGCGUAGAUAUCUGGAGGAACAUCGGUGGCGAAGGCGACAGCCUGGACCGGUAUUGACGCUGAGGCGCGAAAGCCAGGGGAGCAAACGGG